RNAcentral lists this ribosomal RNA (210 nucleotides) under Cephalopholis aurantia (golden hind). RNAcentral's name for it is "partial 16S ribosomal RNA". It matches the Rfam family "Bacterial large subunit ribosomal RNA", at positions 1849 to 2105 of the family's 2925-position model. The record is from RNAcentral. Lineage: Eukaryota; Metazoa; Chordata; Actinopteri; Perciformes; Serranidae.
GAGGUNCCGCCUGCGCUGUGACUAUAUGUUUAACGGCCGCGGUAUUUUGACCGUGCGAAGGUAGCGCAAUCACUUGUCUUUUAAAUGGAGACCUGUAUGAAUGGCAUAACGAGGGCUUGACUGUCUCCUCUUUCAAGUCAAUGAAAUUGAUCUCCCCGUGAAGAAGCGGGGAUAAGCACAUAAGACGAGAAGACCCUAUGGAGCUUUAGA